Molecule: ribosomal RNA, 1435 nt
Filed under: metagenome
Description: bacterial SSU rRNA
Rfam family: Bacterial small subunit ribosomal RNA
Source: RNAcentral
AGAGUUUGAUCCUGGCUCAGAUUGAACGCUGGCGGCAUGCCUUACACAUGCAAGUCGAACGGCAGCGCGGGGCGACCUGGCGGCGAGUGGCGAACGGGUGAGUAAUAUAUCGGAACGUACCCUGGAGUGGGGGAUAACGUAGCGAAAGUUACGCUAAUACCGCAUACGAUCUAAGGAUGAAAGUGGGGGAUCGCAAGACCUCAUGCUCCUGGAGCGGCCGAUAUCUGAUUAGCUAGUUGGUGGGGUAAAGGCCUACCAAGGCAUCGAUCAGUAGCUGGUCUGAGAGGACGACCAGCCACACUGGAACUGAGACACGGUCCAGACUCCUACGGGAGGCAGCAGUGGGGAAUUUUGGACAAUGGGCGAAAGCCUGAUCCAGCAAUGCCGCGUGAGUGAAGAAGGCCUUCGGGUUGUAAAGCUCUUUUGUCAGGGAAGAAACGGUGGGGGCUAAUAUCCCCUGCUAAUGACGGUACCUGAAGAAUAAGCACCGGCUAACUACGUGCCAGCAGCCGCGGUAAUACGUAGGGUGCAAGCGUUAAUCGGAAUUACUGGGCGUAAAGCGUGCGCAGGCGGUUUUGUAAGUCUGUCGUGAAAUCCCCUGGCUCAACCUGGGAAUUGCGAUGGAGACUGCAAGGCUAGAAUCUGGCAGAGGGGGGUAGAAUUCCACGUGUAGCAGUGAAAUGCGUAGAGAUGUGGAGGAACACCGAUGGCGAAGGCAGCCCCCUGGGUCAAGAUUGACGCUCAUGCACGAAAGCGUGGGGAGCAAACAGGAUUAGAUACCCUGGUAGUCCACGCCCUAAACGAUGUCUACUAGUUGUCGGGUUUUAAUUAACUUGGUAACGCAGCUAACGCGUGAAGUAGACCGCCUGGGGAGUACGGUCGCAAGAUUAAACUCAAAGGAAUUGACGGGGACCCGCACAAGCGGUGGAUGAUGUGGAUUAAUUCGAUGCAACGCGAAAAACCUUACCUACCCUUGACAUGUACGGAAGCCACGAGAGAUCGAGGCGUGCUCGAAAGAGAGCCGUAACACAGGUGCUGCAUGGCUGUCGUCAGCUCGUGUCGUGAGAUGUUGGGUUAAGUCCCGCAACGAGCGCAACCCUUGUCAUUAGUUGCUACGAAAGGGCACUCUAAUGAGACUGCCGGUGACAAACCGGAGGAAGGUGGGGAUGACGUCAAGUCCUCAUGGCCCUUAUGGGUAGGGCUUCACACGUCAUACAAUGGUACAUACAGAGGGCCGCCAACCCGCGAGGGGGAGCUAAUCCCAGAAAGUGUAUCGUAGUCCGGAUUGUAGUCUGCAACUCGACUACAUGAAGUUGGAAUCGCUAGUAAUCGCGGAUCAGCAUGUCGCGGUGAAUACGUUCCCGGGUCUUGUACACACCGCCCGUCACACCAUGGGAGCGGGUUUUACCAGAAGUAGGUAGCUUAACCGCAAGGG